This 238-nucleotide ribosomal RNA is filed under the name uncultured bacterium. Its description in RNAcentral is "partial 16S ribosomal RNA". It matches the Rfam family "Bacterial small subunit ribosomal RNA", at positions 15 to 236 of the family's 1533-position model. The record is from RNAcentral.
GAUCAUGGCUCAGGACGAACGCUGGCGGCGUGCCUAUCACAUGCAAGUCGAACGGAGAAUUUUAUUUCGGUAGAAUUCUUAGUGGCGAACGGGUGAGUAACGCGUAGGCAACCUGCCCUUUAGACGGGGACAACAUUCCGAAAGGAGUGCUAAUACCGGAUGUGAUCAUCUUGCCGCAUGGCAGGAUGAAGAAAGAUGGCCUCUACAAGUAAGCUAUCGCUAAAGGAUGGGCCUGCGU